Molecule: ribosomal RNA, 609 nt
Filed under: uncultured fungus
Lineage: Eukaryota; Fungi
Description: eukaryotic LSU rRNA
Rfam family: 5.8S ribosomal RNA (bases 260-414)
Source: RNAcentral
GGAAGGAUCAUUAUCGAAAUAAAUAAAUGGAGGGAAGAUGGAAAUAGUCUAUGGAUUGUCGCUGGCUCUUUUGCAUGUGCACGUCUUUGCUACCUCCAUUGACCUUUCUUCAAUACACACCUGUGCACCUAUUGUAGGUCCUCACAAGAGGAUCUAUGUCUUUUACAUCAUAACACUAUCGUAUGUCUGUAGAAUGUUAUCAAAGACCUUUGGAUCAGGCUUGCGCUUGGUUUGGCUGGUCGAUGAAAAAAUCAUAUACAACUUUCAGCAAUGGAUCUCUUGGCUCUUGCAUCGAUGAAGAACGCAGCGAAUUGCGAUAAGUAAUGUGAAUUGCAGAUUUCCAGUGAAUCAUCGAAUCUUUGAACGCACCUUGCGCUCCUUGGUAUUCCGAGGAGCAUGCCUGUUUGAGUGUCAUUUAAUUCUCAACCAUCUCUUGAUUGAUUUGGCUUGGAGUUGGGGGUUUGCUGGCAGCGAUGUCGGCUCUCCUGAAAUGCAUUAGCAGUUAUCAUGCUAGUAGUCUAUUGGCGUACACGGCCUUUUGACGUGAUAAUGAUCGUCGUGGGCUGGAGCGUCUUUAACUAGUAGAUUGCUUCCAAUUCACAUCUCACU